Octopus sinensis (East Asian common octopus) is the source of this 459-nucleotide long non-coding RNA. RefSeq lists it as uncharacterized. Lineage: Eukaryota; Metazoa; Mollusca; Cephalopoda; Octopoda; Octopodidae. The transcript has 2 exons. The record is from RefSeq and is a predicted model, not a curated record.
ACAAACAUACAUACACACACACACACACACACACACACACAUAUAUAUAUAUAUAUAUACAUAAAUUUUUAUUUAUAUACACGGCGCAAUCAACACACACUACCUCAGUUUAUAUAUAAAUACACAUACACACACGCACGAAAAAUAGACAAUAUACACAUUACAUUUAAAUAACAACAAUUAGAACAACAAAAUAAUAAUAAUAACAAUAAUAAUAAAACACCUGGCCCUUAUCCUCACCUGAUAUCUACAAAAGGAAAAAAAAAAAAUUAACAGAAAAAUUAUAUUUUUCUCUACGUCAUCUUUAUCAUACAAAAAUCGCCGCAACCUGGGUUGGUUCCUACAGUUAACUUCUUAUUAUUAUUGUUUUGGUGGGUGAGUGCGUGGCAACGCACCAGUUCUAAAACAGUCAAAAUUUCACCAUCAAAAGCAGAGAACAUGACAGAGACUCAAGCAAAA